UACAGAGGGUGCAAGCGUUAAUCGGAAUUACUGGGCGUAAAGCGUGCGUAGUCGGUUAUCUAAGUCGGGUGUGAAAUCCCAGGGCUCAACCUUGGAAUUGCAUUCGAAACUGAAUAGCUAGAGUUCGGCAGAGGGAAGUGGAAUUUCCGGUGUAGCGGUGAAAUGCGUAGAUAUCGGAAGGAACAUCAGUGGCGAAAGCGACUUCCUGGACCAGAACUGACGAUCAGGCACGAAAGCGUGGGGAGCAAACAGG
This 253-nucleotide ribosomal RNA is filed under the name uncultured bacterium. Its description in RNAcentral is "partial 16S ribosomal RNA". It matches the Rfam family "Bacterial small subunit ribosomal RNA", at positions 524 to 776 of the family's 1533-position model. The record is from RNAcentral.